GAGGCGCAGGGCCAACCUCACCUGCACUCCCCAGAGCCACCCCUCCGCUUCUCUCAUGUCUCCGGCUAUCAAUCAACCAAGUCACACAGAGAUGGACCGAGCAGUCUUUUUGGAGCCAAGAGCUAUGUUUCUCCUAAACUGUUGGUUCCCGGAUUCUUAAAAGAUUUUGUUUUGGCUUCAUUGCUCACAACAAUCGAGAACAACCUUGAAAACUUCUGGAGAGGAAAUCCCUUUCAGCUUUCUAUUUCUGCGAUUCUCUGGUUACUUUUCAAUGCAUAGUGAAUGAUAAAAGAACCAUUAAGAAAGCAUUCCCAACCAGAGGACUUGUGGACCCACUUCAACGUGGAGCUAAGGGUCUCUCACUUACCUAUCAAGGCACAUUUAACAGCGGGGGACAUUUAUUGAACAUCUAUCAGUUGCCCAGAGCAGUUGUUGGCAGGCGUCAAGGCUGACCAAGGCUCCGGUGCUCAGCUCAGAAAGGAACCAAGAAGCCGUCCAGAGCCUGGGUGGUUUCCCAGGUGAGUGGCCUCUGAGGUCGCGAGACCUCACGCUCAGGGGUCCCCAUGCUGGGCUUCGGGCUCUGCCAUCUCCGUAUUGAAUUCCCAAAUUAUUUUCUCAUGGAACUGAGUUUUUAAGUGAAGUCUGUGGCAACAAGGAAGCAUAUGUGUGAUCAGAGGAGAGAGAAGGAUGGGGGACGAAGGAGACGAUCUUUAUGGGCAGUGCGAUUGUCUUAGGCAGCUCGGGCAGCCAUGGCAAAUACUGCAGACUGAACAUCAUUCAGAUAGUCACCUCCAGAGCUGGUAGCUCUGCUCCAACAACGGCAAUGUCCAUGGUACAGUCUGGAGGUGGCCAGUCCAAGCUCAAGGUGCCAACCGUUCGCUUUCUGGCGAGGGCUCUCUUCUGGCUGGUAGACGCUGCCUUCUUGCUGUGUCCUUGUAUGACAGGUGUCGUGGGCAUCACACACUAGACAUGUCCCUGGAAGUUCUUGCAGGGACUGGGUUAUGUCUUAGUGGUUUGGAGUCACUGUACGGCUAGCGGAUUCGUUUCCUAUGCUGCCGUAACGGAGUGCCACAGACAGGGUGCCACAACAACAGAAAUGGACUGUCUCAAGUUCUGGAGGCUGGAAGUCCCAGACAAAGGUGUCACAGGGUUGGUUCUUCCUGAGGCCUUGAGGAAGAACCUGUUCCAGGCCUCUCCUUGCUUCUGGCGUUUGCCCGUCCUCAGUGCUCCCUCCUUGAAAAUAAAAUUAGAUAAUGUCCGUGAAGUGCUCAGCUCCCUGCCUGGUUGUCGCAGUCACUGGAAAAGAGACACAUCACCCGGUGGCACUGAAGGGGACUCUCACUGAAUGGCAGCGAUGCAGCUGGGGCUGUGCUUCUUUGGCCAGCCUAGUUAGGAUGGCCCCGGGCAGGCUGCAGUAACAACUCCUCAGGGUGACCUCUGAGGACAGCAUGGGCAAAGAGAAUGUCCUGAAGUCUCCAGGGAGAUAAAACAGAUUUUCUAGGCAAAAUUGAAACCGCUGUGACUUCAGACUUGCUAACACCAGGAUGUGGAAAACAAUGAAGCAAUGCUGUCAAAACCCUAACAUUCUACGCCCAGCCGCGUCGUCACUGUGGUGUGGGGACAGAUUCACGACCUCAGCCCCUAAAUCUAUCUACCUCUCCUGCACCCCUUCUCAGGAGGCAAGUGGAGGUAUUGAGGGGCGCUUGAGGAGCAGCCCCUGUCUGCACCGGGAGCUCAUGGCCAAGUUCGUCUGAGACUACUUCUCCCAGGACUGCUGCCAACCCGUGGCUGAGUUCGGGGGGCAGGGGUGCUAAGGCAGGCCUGCUCCCGGGACACCUGUGACAUGGCUGAAGGAUGGCUUCAGCUCACACACAUCCCACCGCCUUAUCAAAUGUUCCUGAGGACCGCAUUGAAGUCUCAGAUGAUUUCUGCCUCCGUCUCUCCCUCUUUGCUUUCCUUCCUUGUUCCCCUUGCCCCGUUUCCUCUCUCCUUCACUCUGAGUUACACCUGUCUUGCCACCUUCCCCUGCCCAGCCUCUCAGACUCCCUCCCUGUGUCCUACUCGGGUGUUUGCCCUGAAUGCACGUCCUGGAGUCAGCUUUGUUGGAAACACAGGCUAACACAGAUAUGCUCCACCAAACGGAGGGAGUUAACCAAGGAAAAGGACAGCCAGAAUCCAGAAAAUAGAGGCAAAACACAAAAGUGAGAAAAGGGUCACUUCAUGAUGAUGGUAAAAUAAAAUUCCAGAAAGAAGUUCUUCAGGAAGCCUGGAAAGUAACCCAUGCAGAAUGGUGCCAGCCGGUGAGGGGGUCUGCUGGGACAGCGUCCCCGUCCCGGGAAGAGGGCGGGGGAAGGGUCAUUAACACGUGUGAACAUUUUGAGAGGAGACUCAUCAACCAGAGGAGAGUUGGGGAAGAAUUGGGUUAAAUACUUAAAAAAACUAAGCAAAGUAGAAACAAACAUGUAAUUAUUAACUGCAGAGAAAAGGGUGAGCAGAACAGGAAGAGCGCACCGAAGGCGUCGUUACAGAGGGAAACAAUUCCUCCUCUCCCAAUGUGGGACUUCAAUAGAUGAUGCCUAGAACUGGAAACUCAAAAGAUAGUAAUGCCAGGAUGGCUUUUCGAGCUGUGUUAGAAAUACCAAGAGAAUGGCCGGGCGCGUGGCUCACGCCUGUAAUCCCAGCACUUUGGGAGGCUGAGGCGGGCGGAUCACCUGAGGCCAGAAGUUCAA
Piliocolobus tephrosceles (Ugandan red Colobus) is the source of this 2729-nucleotide long non-coding RNA. RefSeq lists it as uncharacterized. NCBI's taxonomy places the organism in Eukaryota, Metazoa, Chordata, Mammalia, Primates, Cercopithecidae. The record is from RefSeq and is a predicted model, not a curated record. The transcript has 4 exons.